GAUGAAGAACGUAGUAAAAUGCGAUAAGUAAUGUGAAUUGCAGAAUUCAGUGAAUCAUCGAAUCUUUGAUCGCACAUUGCGCCCGCCAGUAUUCUGGCGGGCAUGCCUGUUCGAGCGUCAUUUCAACCCUCAAGCACAGCUUGGUGUUGGGACUCGCGUUAAUUCGCGUUCCCCAAAUUGAUUGGCGGUCACGUCGAGCUUCCAUAGCGUAGUAGUAAAACCCUCGUUACUGGUAAUCGUCGCGGCCACGCCGUUAAACCCCAACUUCUGAAUGUUGACCUCGGAUCAGGUAGGAAUACCCGCUGAACUUAAGCAUAUCAAUAAGCGGAGGA
Molecule: unclassified non-coding RNA, 332 nt
Filed under: soil metagenome
Description: partial contains 5.8S ribosomal RNA, internal transcribed spacer 2, and large subunit ribosomal RNA
Rfam family: 5.8S ribosomal RNA (bases 1-120)
Source: RNAcentral